This is a small nucleolar RNA of Pelodiscus sinensis (Chinese soft-shelled turtle), 136 nucleotides long. The record is from Ensembl. Lineage: Eukaryota; Metazoa; Chordata; Testudines; Trionychidae.
UUGGCCCUGAAUGAAGGCCAUUGGCUUGCUGUAGCUAUUGGUUUCAAGCAGGAGCCCAAAGAAAUGCCUUCCUGUGGUCUGUUGGCUGUUCUAGUGUCUCUAAAGGGAACAGCCAAUUCAGUGAGAAGCAACAAGC